This 1246-nucleotide long non-coding RNA is filed under the name Aotus nancymaae (Ma's night monkey). Its description in RNAcentral is "lncRNA (ENSANAG00000038631.1)". The record is from RNAcentral. Lineage: Eukaryota; Metazoa; Chordata; Mammalia; Primates; Aotidae.
AUGAUUCAUCUGGGAGUCUGGAGAGAAAAAGCAGAAACCAAGUUGAGCUUCACAGAGAUCCUGACCCUUUUAGACGAGGAGAUGAGAGUAGGCAAAAGGAGAAAACAAAUGAGACGCGGGAAGGAAGAAGGAAAGAAGAAGGCAAAGCCUCUUAGCCUGGACAGGAACGUGAGCAGGAGACGUAACUGGCUUUGCUGAAGGGAGCGAAGACUCCUGUCUCCCAUUUCAGUCCUGUCUUACUAGACGCUAAAUACAGGUAAAUUACAGAAGGCAUUGGAUCAGCAUCAAGCCCCUGGUGGUCUUACAGUAACUAGUAUCCCUCCUCUCUAUAAAAUAAUAUUUUAUUUAAAAAAUGCUGGCUGCAGCCGAGUAUGCUUUUAUUAAGAGUUCCUGCAAAUCACAGGCUUGUCCUUUCACUUUGAGACUGAGAGAGGGAGGGAGGAAGGGACCGAGGGAGGGAAAAUGCUGUUAAGUCCACAAAAAUGUGGACAACCUCAGAAACCUAUAAACAGAAAUAUACUAACAUGGUGUAUUUCCUACUUUUGAAGCCCUGAAAUUUUUAAUUUUCCCUUCUUUCUGUGCGAUUUUGGUUUCCAAAUGUCUACAUUAAGCAGGCGUUGUUUUAUGAUUAGGGCGAAAUUACUGCUGCUGCUGCCGGUGAUCAUGAUGAUUGCAAAAACUAGGCUGCAAACAAGCUGUGCUUCCAUUUAAAAGCUCUUCUUUGCUGCCUCGGCAAACAAGGGGUAUUCGAUGGCACUUUUUGGUUAGAUUCAAAUAAAAAGAGGCCGGGCGUGGUGGCUCACGCCUGCAAUCCCAGGUGGGUGGAUCACGAGGUCAGGAGUUAGAGACCAGCCUGGCCAAAAUGGUGAAACCCCGUCUCUACUAAAAAUACCAAAAUUAGCCGGGCGUGGUGGCGGGCGCCUGUAAUCCCAGCAACCUGGGAGGCUGAGCCACGAGAAUUGCUUGAACCUGGGAAGCGGAGGUUGCAGUGAGCCGAGAUCUCGCCACUGCCCUCCAGCCUGGGCGACAGAGCAGCCAGAUUCCGUCUCAACAACAACAAGUUUUAAUAAAUGAGAUCUUUGCUAAGAGUAGAAUAAAAAAAGGAAAAAAAAAAAGUUUUACAUUUCCCUCUGGAAGCCCUUUGCCAGCCAGGGCUUUCCCUGCCGCCUGCUCUGCAGGUAAGGAACGGUGGGGCUGGCUGGAGGGCCGCAGGCAGCCGCGGACCCUGACGCCCCCUGUCCCGCCC